RNAcentral lists this small RNA (888 nucleotides) under Histoplasma ohiense. RNAcentral describes it as "hypothetical lncRNA". Lineage: Eukaryota; Fungi; Ascomycota; Eurotiomycetes; Onygenales; Ajellomycetaceae. The record is from RNAcentral.
ACAUGACAAGCGGGGAUUAAAUUCGGAUAGUUCAUCUUGAUUUUUGCUGUCUGGAAUAAAAAAAGGUGAUUGAUUAUCCUCUACCAUAGAGUAGACCAAGCAGAUCUAUAUACGCCGCUGGAAUCCCGUCAUAGGCCACCACCACCUUCAACCUUGGUAAAGAGCAGAAACCGACGCAAAAGCAGAAAACAAAAAGGAUAUAUAUAGUAUAACCUGUCGGCUUCUGUUAGAUCGCAAGAUUAAAACCCACGUAGCAGAAUUCCACACUUGAUUGUUAUAAUUUAUAAACGAAAGAAAACCCCAUUUGAGAACCGAGGCCGUUAACGUUCAUCCUCAUCCAUCAGCUCUGGCACAAAUCAUACUCAGCUAUAUACAAUUCGUUUCUCUCAACGAAUCCAAAACGUUAACCAUGAAACAUGAAGAGUAAUCGCACAUCAUAUCAUCAGUCAAUCAAACAGGCAAAAAGAAAGAGAGAGAGGCAGAUAAAACGCAUGUAGACGGUACGGAUAAAGGGGCUCCUCCCGGUGAGGGGAGGAGUGACGAUUGGUCUGCUAUCAACCGACGGCAAUUUCAUUUCGGCAACAGUAAAAAGCCAAAAGGUAAAUGGACGGUUUUUUUCUUUCUUUUCUUCUUUUUUUAAAGCAUGGGAUGGGUGGUGAAGUGCUCGAACACUGAAUAGAAACGCAUCGAACGUGGUGUUGUGUAUAAGCAGGAAAAGGGACGAGUGUAGUACGGGGAGAUGAAGUGGCAACGCAACAAUCGAGAAAAAACGUCUUUUAAAAAGAAAGAAAAAAACUCCAAAAAAAAAAAAAAACUCCGAAAGGAAAACAAUUUAAAAAAAAACCAAUAAAUAGCAGUGAAAAUACCAUGUAAAAAGAGAGUGUAGAG